CAGAAAAUAGUUUAAUAAAAAAUAAUAACAUUGGAAGUUAUAGAUUAAAUUUACUAUUUAUUUUCUGAU
RNAcentral lists this transfer RNA (69 nucleotides) under Argonauta nodosus. RNAcentral describes it as "tRNA-Pro". Lineage: Eukaryota; Metazoa; Mollusca; Cephalopoda; Octopoda; Argonautidae. The record is from RNAcentral.